AACUAACAAGGAUUCCCUAGUAACUGCGAGUGAAGCGGGAAAAGCUCAAAUUUAAAAUCUGGCGGUUCCACCGUCCGAGUUGUAAUCUGGAGAAGCAUUUCCCGCGUKGGACCGUGUACAAGUCUCUUGGAAUAGAGCGUCAUAGAGGGUGAGAAUCCCGUCCAUAACACGGACUACCAGUGCUUUGUGAUAUGCUCUCAAAGAGUCGAGUUGUUUGGGAAUGCACCUCAAAAUGGGUGGUAAAUUCCAUCUAAAGCUAAAUAUUGGCGAGAGACCGAUAGCGAACAAGUACCGUGAGGGAAAGAUGAAAAGCACUUUGGAAAGAGAGUUAAACAGUACGUGAAAUUGUUGAAAGGGAAACGCUUGAAGUCAGUCGCGUUGUCCGGGACUCAGCCUUGCUAUUUGCUUGGUGUACUUCCUGGUUGACGGGUCAACAUCAAUUUUGGCUGGUGGAUAAAGGCCGAGAGAAGGUGGCAUCUUCGGAUGUGUUAUAGCUCUUGGUUGUAUACGCUGGCUGGGAUUGAGGUUUGCAGCACGCCUUUUUGGCCGGGGUUUGCCCACGUAACGUGCUUAGGAUGUUGGCAUAAUGGCUUUAAGCGACCCGUCUUGAAACACGGACCAAGGAGUCUAACAUGCCUGCGAGUAUUAGAGUGGAAAACUCUUGUGCGAAAUGAAAGUGAAAGUUGGGACUCUUCGCGGAGGCACCAACGCCCGGCCCUGAAGUUUACUGACGGUGCUGCGGUAGAGCAUGUAUGUUGGGACCCGAAAGAUGGUGAACUAUGCCUGAAUAGGGUGAAGCCAGGGGAAACUCUGGUGGAGGCUCGUAGCGAUUCUGACGUGCAAAUCGAUUGUCAAAUUUGGGUAUAGGGGCGAAAGACUAAUCGAACCAUNNNNNNNNNNNNNNNNNNN
RNAcentral lists this ribosomal RNA (909 nucleotides) under Lyomyces crustosus. RNAcentral's name for it is "partial 25S ribosomal RNA". It matches the Rfam family "Eukaryotic large subunit ribosomal RNA", at positions 63 to 962 of the family's 3401-position model. Lineage: Eukaryota; Fungi; Basidiomycota; Agaricomycetes; Hymenochaetales; Schizoporaceae. The record is from RNAcentral.